RNAcentral lists this ribosomal RNA (1040 nucleotides) under Escherichia coli. RNAcentral describes it as "partial 23S ribosomal RNA". It matches the Rfam family "Bacterial large subunit ribosomal RNA", at positions 141 to 1220 of the family's 2925-position model. Lineage: Bacteria; Pseudomonadati; Pseudomonadota; Gammaproteobacteria; Enterobacterales; Enterobacteriaceae. The record is from RNAcentral.
CGACACACUAUCAUUAACUGAAUCCAUAGGUUAAUGAGGCGAACCGGGGGAACUGAAACAUCUAAGUACCCCGAGGAAAAGAAAUCAACCGAGAUUCCCCCAGUAGCGGCGAGCGAACGGGGAGCAGCCCAGAGCCUGAAUCAGUAUGUGUGUUAGUGGAAGCGUCUGGAAAGGCGCGCGAUACAGGGUGACAGCCCCGUACACAAAAAUGCACAUGCUGUGAGCUCGAUGAGUAGGGCGGGACACGUGGUAUCCUGUCUGAAUAUGGGGGGACCAUCCUCCAAGGCUAAAUACUCCUGACUGACCGAUAGUGAACCAGUACCGUGAGGGAAAGGCGAAAAGAACCCCGGCGAGGGGAGUGAAAAAGAACCUGAAACCGUGUACGUACAAGCAGUGGGAGCACGCUUAGGCGUGUGACUGCGUACCUUUUGUAUAAUGGGUCAGCGACUUAUAUUCUGUAGCAAGGUUAACCGAAUAGGGGAGCCGAAGGGAAACCGAGUCUUAACUGGGCGUUAAGUUGCAGGGUAUAGACCCGAAACCCGGUGAUCUAGCCAUGGGCAGGUUGAAGGUUGGGUAACACUAACUGGAGGACCGAACCGACUAAUGUUGAAAAAUUAGCGGAUGACUUGUGGCUGGGGGUGAAAGGCCAAUCAAACCGGGAGAUAGCUGGUUCUCCCCGAAAGCUAUUUAGGUAGCGCCUCGUGAAUUCAUCUCCGGGGGUAGAGCACUGUUUCGGCAAGGGGGUCAUCCCGACUUACCAACCCGAUGCAAACUGCGAAUACCGGAGAAUGUUAUCACGGGAGACACACGGCGGGUGCUAACGUCCGUCGUGAAGAGGGAAACAACCCAGACCGCCAGCUAAGGUCCCAAAGUCAUGGUUAAGUGGGAAACGAUGUGGGAAGGCCCAGACAGCCAGGAUGUUGGCUUAGAAGCAGCCAUCAUUUAAAGAAAGCGUAAUAGCUCACUGGUCGAGUCGGCCUGCGCGGAAGAUGUAACGGGGCUAAACCAUGCACCGAAGCUGCGGCAGCGACGCUGAUGCG